AUACGACUUGCAUUAUUCGAAAAGUGCGAUGUGCGCAUGACCGGAAUUGUGCACUGCAGGGGUCAAAAUAGUACCGGAAGCGUUGUUGACAGCGAUAAGAACACAUGAUGGAAGCAUAAGACAUGCCGGGGGCGAUAUUAAACAAGCCAUUUGAGGCGACAAAGGUGCCGGAGUUGAAAAGUUGGUUAAAAUGAAGGAUGCCCACACAUCAGGCAAAAAAGAAGAGCUGAUAAAAAGGUGUAAACUGUACGGUGAGGAUAGAGAGAGAAACAACAUAUUGGAUCCAGACGGCAGA
RNAcentral lists this long non-coding RNA (295 nucleotides) under Lingula anatina. Its description in RNAcentral is "uncharacterized LOC112042525". The record is from RNAcentral. Lineage: Eukaryota; Metazoa; Brachiopoda; Lingulata; Lingulida; Lingulidae.